Molecule: long non-coding RNA, 306 nt
Filed under: Homo sapiens (human)
Lineage: Eukaryota; Metazoa; Chordata; Mammalia; Primates; Hominidae
Description: HSALNT0382093
Source: RNAcentral
CUUAAGCUGCCUUCAGGGCUGAUAUCAUGGGUUGGUCAACUGCCUGAGAUUUCUUCCUCUAUCUGGGGUUAGCAAGACACCUAAAAGCAGAAGCAACUGAGGCCCAGAGGAGCAAAGGCCCCCAAGCAAGGUCUCCAGCAGGCUGGGAGCACGGUGGAAAUGGAGCCCGCUCCCCUGUCUUCCACUGCCUGUUUAAGAGAAGAGCAGCCGCGAGGCCCUGGGCUGGUCUCGGGGGUGAGCUCUGCUGUGGAUACCCGCCAUGGCUUGUCUUCCCCGCCCACAGAUAAAUGCAACCUUUCUCUUCUA